CAGUCGACGAACCUUCGGGUUAGUGGCGGACGGGUGAGUAACGCGUGAGAAUCUGCCCUCAGGAGGGGGAUAACGGCUGGAAACGGCCGCUAAUACCCCAUGUGCCGAGAGGUGAAAUGAAAUUCGCCUGAGGAUGAGCUCGCGUCUGAUUAGCUAGUUGGUGGGGUAAGAGCCUACCAAGGCAUCGAUCAGUAGCUGGUCUGAGAGGAUGAUCAGCCACACUGGGACUGAGACACGGCCCAGACUCCUACGGGAGGCAGCAGUGGGGAAUUUUCCGCAAUGGGCGAAAGCCUGACGGAGCAACGCCGCGUGAGGGAUGAAGGCCUCUGGGCUGUAAACCUCUUUUAUCAAGGAAGAAGACCUGACGGUACUUGAUGAAUAAGCCACGGCUAAUUCCGUGCCAGCAGCCGCGGUAAUACGGGAGUGGCAAGCGUUAUCCGGAAUUAUUGGGCGUAAAGCGUCCGCAGGCGGCCUCGUAAGUCUGUUGUUAAAGCGUGGAGCUUAACUCCAUUUCGGCAAUGGAAACUGUGAGGCUUGAGUGUGGUAGGGGCAGAGGGAAUUCCCGGUGUAGCGGUGAAAUGCGU
RNAcentral lists this ribosomal RNA (584 nucleotides) under uncultured cyanobacterium. RNAcentral's name for it is "bacterial SSU rRNA". It matches the Rfam family "Bacterial small subunit ribosomal RNA", at positions 59 to 691 of the family's 1533-position model. Lineage: Bacteria; Bacillati; Cyanobacteriota. The record is from RNAcentral.